Molecule: long non-coding RNA, 941 nt
Filed under: Marmota monax (woodchuck)
Lineage: Eukaryota; Metazoa; Chordata; Mammalia; Rodentia; Sciuridae
Source: RNAcentral
CUGGGUCCUCACACUCUUUCCCUUCAGUUAUUGUUGGCUCUGGUUCUGACCUUGCCAGGUCCCCGGGCAGAAGAACCUGGGUUUUAUCUGCAGGCCUGUGGGCUUCCUGGAGCUGCAGGAAGAUUUUGCUUCACCUGAGCAGACGGGGCUGGCUGAAAUGCUGAGAGUUAUGGCAGACACAUGGGAACAGCCCUCAACCAUCAGUGGGAAGGAGGUAGGUGGAUACCCAGCUCCCUAACCCCAGGUAGGACAACUCUGGGAUAUGUUCUACAGAGCCUCCCAAGUUGCCCAGUAGGAUGGAGCCCCAACUGCCCCCAAAGGCAAACUUGUUUUUUACAUGUCCUUCCUUUCCACGUCUCAGUUCUGCACUCCCCACCACUGCUCCUCAGAGUCACCCCCAAACAAACCACACACACCCAGCCUUUCUCAGAGCCUUGUCUCAGAUGGGGGGUGGGGGACCCAGCCCAGGCUAGGCCUCAUGCUUAUUUCCUGUUCCUGACUCACUCUGUCUCAUACUGCAGCCGGCUCUUCUUGCUCUUUUCUUAUUCUGUAUUUAUGUGACUUCUUGCAUCGUAUCUUAUCCAGGUUCCUCUAGGCAAUUACCCGGGUAGACUCCCAGGACCCUCUUGUGGCCCAUGUGGCUAGAAUUCUUGCUGGCUUUGGCCUAGUACUUGAUGGAGGAAAUAGAAUCUCAUUUUAAGGGGAAAAUGAACAGAAAGAAAGAGAAAGCCUCCCUCUAGAAGGAGGAGAGGAGAGAAUAGUGAAAGGAGCACACCUUGGACUUGAUGCACAGGAUGUGUCUCUCAAGCAAGAUGGGCCCUGACAGUUGAGUUCUCCAUCCAUGGAAACUUCUAGGCCUGCUCUUUCUGGAUUUCUGCUCCUGGAACUUGGAAAUACCGAUGGAUUGGUUUUAUCAAAAGCGGGGCUGGUCUGGGUUCUGU